This 1430-nucleotide ribosomal RNA is filed under the name Klebsiella aerogenes. RNAcentral's name for it is "bacterial LSU rRNA". It matches the Rfam family "Bacterial large subunit ribosomal RNA", at positions 1 to 1445 of the family's 2925-position model. Lineage: Bacteria; Pseudomonadati; Pseudomonadota; Gammaproteobacteria; Enterobacterales; Enterobacteriaceae. The record is from RNAcentral.
CAAAAGAAGAGUUUGUAGUGGAUGCCUUGGGUCUGGAAGUCGAAGAAGGACGUGAUUACCUGCGAUAAGCCUCGUUUAGUUGGAUAUAAACUUUGAGACGGGGAUUUCCGAAUGGGGAAACCUAACUAGAUUAAUCUCUAGUUGCCCACUUUUGAAUAUAUAGAAAGUGUGAGCGAGACACCUUGUGAAUUGAAACAUCUUAGUAGCAAGAGGAAAAGAAAAUAAAUAAUGAUUCUGUUAGUAGUGGCGAGCGAAAGCAGAAGAGCCCAAACCGUAUUUAUACGGGGUUGUAGGACAGUCUACAUAGAGUUACAAAGAUUAUGUAUAGUAGAAAAAGCUGGGAAGCUUUGACAUAGAGGGUGAUAUCCCCGUAUACGAAAUGCAUAAUUCUCUUGACUGCAUCCUGAGUAGGGCGGGGCACGUGAAACCCUGUCUGAAUCUGCCGGGACCAUCCGGUAAGGCUAAAUACUAACCAGACACCGAUAGUGAACUAGUACCGUGAGGGAAAGGUGAAAAGAACCCCGGGAGGGGAGUGAAAUAGAUUCUGAAACUACUUACUUACAAUUAGUCAGAGCACGUUAAUGUGUGAUGGCGUACAUCUUGCAGUAUGGACCGGCGAGUUAUGUUAACAUGCGAGGUUAAGUGGAUAAAAGCGGAGCCGAAGAGAAAUCGAGUCUGAAUAGGGCGAAUUAGUAUGUUGACAUAGACCCGAAACCAGGUGAUCUAUUCAUGAGCAGGUUGAAGCUUAGGUAAUACUAAGUGGAGGACCGAACCGUAGUACGCUGAAAAGUGCCCGGAUGACUUGUGAAUAGCGGUGAAAUUCCAAUCGAACCUGGAUAUAGCUGGUUCUCCUCGAAAUAGCUUUAGGGCUAGCGUGUGAUGUUAAACUUUGGUGGUAGAGCACUGAAUAUGGAAUGGCGGCGCCUAGCUGUACUGACUAUAAUCAAACUCCGAAUACCAUUGUGUAUUAUCAUGCAGUCGGAACAUCGGUGAUAACGUCGAUGCUCGCGAGGGUAACAACCCAGAUCGUCAGCUAAGGUCCCAAAAUUUAUGUUAAGUGAUAAAGGUUGUGAGGUUUCUCAAACAACUAGGAAGUUGGCUUAGAAGCAGCCAUCUUUUAAAGAGUGCGUAAUAGCUCACUAGUCAAGAGACCUUGCGCCGACAAUGUAACGGGACUAAACAUAAUACCGAAGCUACGGGCAUUAUUAAAUGCGUUAGAGGAGCGUUCUAAGGACGGCGAAGCUAAACCGUGAGGAUUAGUGGAGUGCUUAGAAGUGAGAAUGCCGGUAUGAGUAACGAUUCAGAGUGAGAAUCUCUGACGCCUAUUGGGAAAGGUUUCCUGGGGAAGGUUCGUCCACCCAGGGUUAGUCGGGUCCUAAGAUCAGGCUGAAAAGCGUAGUCGAUGGAUAACAGGUUAAUAUUCCUGUACU